Molecule: ribosomal RNA, 396 nt
Filed under: uncultured bacterium
Lineage: Bacteria
Description: partial 16S ribosomal RNA
Rfam family: Bacterial small subunit ribosomal RNA
Source: RNAcentral
AUACGUAGGUGACAAGCGUUAUCCGGAUUUACUGGGCGUAAAGGGCGUGUAGGCGGUCUUGCAAGUCAGAAGUGAAAUUCCUGAGCUCAACUCGGGCGCUGCUUCUGAAACUGCAGGGCUUGAGUGCAGGAGAGGUAAGUGGAAUUCCCAGUGUAGCGGCGAAAUGCGUAGAGAUUGGGAGGAACACCAGUGGCGAAGGCGACUUACUGGACUGUAACUGACGCUGAGGCGCGAAAGUGUGGGGAGCAAACAGGAUUAGAUACCCUGGUAGUCCACACUGUAAACGAUGAAUGCUAGGUGUAGGGGGUAUCGACCCCUUCUGUGCCGCAGUCAACACAAUAAGCAUUCCGCCUGGGGAGUACGGCCGCAAGGUUGAAACUCAAAUGAAUUGGCGGG